This 250-nucleotide ribosomal RNA is filed under the name uncultured Chroococcidiopsis sp. Its description in RNAcentral is "partial 16S ribosomal RNA". It matches the Rfam family "Bacterial small subunit ribosomal RNA", at positions 796 to 1044 of the family's 1533-position model. Lineage: Bacteria; Bacillati; Cyanobacteriota; Cyanophyceae; Chroococcidiopsidales; Chroococcidiopsidaceae. The record is from RNAcentral.
CUAGCCGUAAACGAUGGAUACUAGGCGUUGUGAGUAUCGACCCUCACAGUGUCGUAGCUAACGCGUUAAGUAUCCCGCCUGGGGAGUACGCGCGCAAGCGUGAAACUCAAAGGAAUUGACGGGGGCCCGCACAAGCGGUGGAGCAUGUGGUUUAAUUCGAUGCAACGCGAAGAACCUUACCAGGACUUGACAUGUCGCGAAUCUCAGGGAAACUUGAGAGUGCCUUCGGGAGCGCGAACACAGGUGGUGC